RNAcentral lists this ribosomal RNA (253 nucleotides) under uncultured bacterium. Its description in RNAcentral is "partial 16S ribosomal RNA". It matches the Rfam family "Bacterial small subunit ribosomal RNA", at positions 524 to 776 of the family's 1533-position model. The record is from RNAcentral.
UACGGGGGGGGCAAGCGUUGUUCGGAAUUACUGGGCGUAAAGGGCUCGUAGGCGGCCAACUAAGUCAGACGUGAAAUCCCCAGGCUCAACCUGGGAACUGCGUCUGAUACUGGAUGGCUUGAAUCCGGGAGAGGGAUGCAGAAUUCCAAGUGUAGCGGUGAAAUGCGUAGAUAUCUGGAGGAAUACCGGUGGCGAAGGCGGCAUCCUGGACCGGCAUUGACGCUGAGGAGCGAAAGCCAGGGGAGCAAACGGG